This 301-nucleotide ribosomal RNA is filed under the name uncultured bacterium. Its description in RNAcentral is "partial 16S ribosomal RNA". It matches the Rfam family "Bacterial small subunit ribosomal RNA", at positions 509 to 807 of the family's 1533-position model. The record is from RNAcentral.
CAGCAGCCGCGGUAAUACGUAGGGUGCAAGCGUUAAUCGGAAUUACUGGGCGUAAAGCGUGCGCAGGCGGUUAUAUAAGACAGAUGUGAAAUCCCCGGGCUCAACCUGGGAACUGCAUUUGUGACUGUAUAGCUAGAGUACGGCAGAGGGGGAUGGAAUUCCGCGUGUAGCAGUGAAAUGCGUAGAUAUGCGGAGGAACACCGAUGGAGAAGGCAAUCCCCUGGGCCUGUACUGACGCUCAUGCACGAAAGCGUGGGGAGCAAACAGGAUUAGAGACCCCCGUAGUCCCUGUCUCUUAUAC